CGAGAAGACCCUGUGGAGCUUCAAACACUUGAACUAAUUAUGUAAUCUUUUCCAUCUAAGGGUAUAAACAAAAAUAUAAUACUUCUAGUUCAACUGUUUUUGGUUGGGGCGACCUAGG
Molecule: ribosomal RNA, 118 nt
Filed under: Asymbolus sp. KP-2015
Lineage: Eukaryota; Metazoa; Chordata; Chondrichthyes; Carcharhiniformes; Scyliorhinidae
Description: partial 16S ribosomal RNA
Source: RNAcentral